This 83-nucleotide small nuclear RNA is filed under the name Mus caroli (Ryukyu mouse). The record is from RNAcentral. Lineage: Eukaryota; Metazoa; Chordata; Mammalia; Rodentia; Muridae.
GUGCUCCCUUCGGCAGCACAUAUACUAAAAUUGGAACGAUACGGAGAAGAUUAGCAUGGCUCCUGUGCAAAGAUGACCCGCAA